AACGAACGCUGGCGGCAUGCCUAACACAUGCAAGUCGAACGAGACCUUCGGGUCUUUUGGCGCACGUGUGCGUAACGCGUGGGAACCUGCCCUUAGGUUCGCAAUACCUCCCCGAAAGGGGUGCUAAUACCGGAUAAUGUCUUCGCACCAAAGAUUUAUGGCCUUGGGAUGGGCCCGCGUUGGAUUAGCUAGUUGGUAGGGUAAUAGCCUCCCAUGGCGUCGAUCCAUAGCUGGUCGGGGAGGAGGAUCUGCUACACUGGAACUAAGACACGGCCCAGACUCCUAGGGGAGGGAGGAGAGGGGAAUACAGGACAAGGGGGGAAAGCCUGACCCAGCAAUGCCGGGUGAGUGAUGAAGGCCUUAGGGUAGUAAAGCUCUUUUACACGGGAUGAUAAUGACGGUACCGGGAGAAUAAGCACCGGCUAACUACGUG
Molecule: ribosomal RNA, 433 nt
Filed under: uncultured bacterium
Lineage: Bacteria
Description: partial 16S ribosomal RNA
Rfam family: Bacterial small subunit ribosomal RNA
Source: RNAcentral